RNAcentral lists this long non-coding RNA (272 nucleotides) under Lathyrus oleraceus (garden pea). RNAcentral describes it as "Pisum sativum (pea) long non-coding RNA (PSAT_LNC014485)". The record is from RNAcentral. Lineage: Eukaryota; Viridiplantae; Streptophyta; Magnoliopsida; Fabales; Fabaceae.
UUUGAACAAUAAAAGUUAAAUAUGAGAUAUUUAGAAGGACCAAAAACAUAUUUAACACUAUUUUUUAUAACUACAUAUAUUUUUUAUAUUUUUUAAUAUAUUAAUAUGACUCUUUAUAUUACUCUACCCGUGCGAAUGCAAGCAAAAUAGACAUGUUUGAUGGGUCAAAUCUGUUUCGUCAGCGGUAACGAUUUAUGUCAUCGACGAACAUGUAUCUAUUGAUUCCAUCAAGAAGAUUGUAGUUUAUUAUCCGUCUAUCAAUUAUAAAUAUG